ACUCCUACGGGAGGCAGCAGUGGGGAAUAUUGCGCAAUGGGCGAAAGCCUGACGCAGCAACACCGCGUGAGCGAUGAAGGCCUUCGGGUCGUAAAGCUCUGUUGUAAGGGACGAAUGUUCCUAUGGCAAAUAGCCAUAGGGAGUGACGGUACCUUACCAGCAAGCCCCGGCUAACUACGUGCCAGCAGCCGCGGUAAU
This 198-nucleotide ribosomal RNA is filed under the name uncultured bacterium. Its description in RNAcentral is "partial 16S ribosomal RNA". It matches the Rfam family "Bacterial small subunit ribosomal RNA", at positions 335 to 524 of the family's 1533-position model. The record is from RNAcentral.